AUGUUUUAUCAUAGAGACAUCAGAAAGCCUGAUGACGGUGAGACUGUUGAAGCUGUGGUUGUUCUCAGGUUAGUUAGAAUACCUCUACUACAUCUCUAUAGUCUACUCUGUCCUGGAUCAGUUUGCCUUGCUCUUCCUUUUAGUCAUGCUCAUCAUAAUCUCACUUUUAGUGACCAAGGAGGUGAGCCAGGAGAGGAGAGCAGGCAGCCCAUGGACAAUGAAGAGACAGGCGCUGACAACCCUCUGCUGAAUGGAGAUGCCAGUGGCCAAGGAGAGGAAGGUGUUCUAGGAAUGGAGGAUGGAAAGCUGUCAGACAAGGACAGAGCAGACACUGAAAUCUGUCAGAAGACACAUGCUGAUUCCCCUCCACUGAAUGUACCCAAGGUUGUCAGGGUUAACAGCCAGACUGAUGACACACAGCUUCUUGGUCAACCUCAGAGCAAUGGACAUGUGCCAUAUAGAAGGGAAUCACACCUGACCAAUGGGGCUCUAGGUCAGGGUGCUGGUGAGACUUCACCCCUCCUCUGCAGGUGA
This 534-nucleotide long non-coding RNA is filed under the name Oncorhynchus mykiss (rainbow trout). RNAcentral describes it as "lncRNA (ENSOMYG00000076946.1)". Lineage: Eukaryota; Metazoa; Chordata; Actinopteri; Salmoniformes; Salmonidae. The record is from RNAcentral.